Molecule: ribosomal RNA, 2927 nt
Filed under: Escherichia coli
Lineage: Bacteria; Pseudomonadati; Pseudomonadota; Gammaproteobacteria; Enterobacterales; Enterobacteriaceae
Description: 23S ribosomal RNA
Rfam family: Bacterial large subunit ribosomal RNA
Source: RNAcentral
GGGUUGUGAGGUUAAGCGACUAAGCGUACACGGUGGAUGCCCUGGCAGUCAGAGGCGAUGAAGGACGUGCUAAUCUGCGAUAAGCGUCGGUAAGGUGAUAUGAACCGUUAUAACCGGCGAUUUCCGAAUGGGGAAACCCAGUGUGAUUCGUCACACUAUCAUUAACUGAAUCCAUAGGUUAAUGAGGCGAACCGGGGGAACUGAAACAUCUAAGUACCCCGAGGAAAAGAAAUCAACCGAGAUUCCCCCAGUAGCGGCGAGCGAACGGGGAGCAGCCCAGAGCCUGAAUCAGUGUGUGUGUUAGUGGAAGCGUCUGGAAAGGCGCGCGAUACAGGGUGACAGCCCCGUACACAAAAAUGCACAUGCUGUGAGCUCGAUGAGUAGGGCGGGACACGUGGUAUCCUGUCUGAAUAUGGGGGGACCAUCCUCCAAGGCUAAAUACUCCUGACUGACCGAUAGUGAACCAGUACCGUGAGGGAAAGGCGAAAAGAACCCCGGCGAGGGGAGUGAAAAAGAACCUGAAACCGUGUACGUACAAGCAGUGGGAGCACAGAGCAAUCUGUGUGACUGCGUACCUUUUGUAUAAUGGGUCAGCGACUUAUAUUCUGUAGCAAGGUUAACCGAAUAGGGGAGCCGAAGGGAAACCGAGUCUUAACUGGGCGUUAAGUUGCAGGGUAUAGACCCGAAACCCGGUGAUCUAGCCAUGGGCAGGUUGAAGGUUGGGUAACACUAACUGGAGGACCGAACCGACUAAUGUUGAAAAAUUAGCGGAUGACUUGUGGCUGGGGGUGAAAGGCCAAUCAAACCGGGAGAUAGCUGGUUCUCCCCGAAAGCUAUUUAGGUAGCGCCUCGUGAAUUCAUCUCCGGGGGUAGAGCACUGUUUCGGCAAGGGGGUCAUCCCGACUUACCAACCCGAUGCAAACUGCGAAUACCGGAGAAUGUUAUCACGGGAGACACACGGCGGGUGCUAACGUCCGUCGUGAAGAGGGAAACAACCCAGACCGCCAGCUAAGGUCCCAAAGUCAUGGUUAAGUGGGAAACGAUGUGGGAAGGCCCAGACAGCCAGGAUGUUGGCUUAGAAGCAGCCAUCAUUUAAAGAAAGCGUAAUAGCUCACUGGUCGAGUCGGCCUGCGCGGAAGAUGUAACGGGGCUAAACCAUGCACCGAAGCUGCGGCAGCGACGCUUAUGCGUUGUUGGGUAGGGGAGCGUUCUGUAAGCCUGUGAAGGUGUACUGUGAGGUAUGCUGGAGGUAUCAGAAGUGCGAAUGCUGACAUAAGUAACGAUAAAGCGGGUGAAAAGCCCGCUCGCCGGAAGACCAAGGGUUCCUGUCCAACGUUAAUCGGGGCAGGGUGAGUCGACCCCUAAGGCGAGGCCGAAAGGCGUAGUCGAUGGGAAACAGGUUAAUAUUCCUGUACUUGGUGUUACUGCGAAGGGGGGACGGAGAAGGCUAUGUUGGCCGGGCGACGGUUGUCCCGGUUUAAGCGUGUAGGCUGGUUUUCCAGGCAAAUCCGGAAAAUCAAGGCUGAGGCGUGAUGACGAGGCACUACGGUGCUGAAGCAACAAAUGCCCUGCUUCCAGGAAAAGCCUCUAAGCAUCAGGUAACAUCAAAUCGUACCCCAAACCGACACAGGUGGUCAGGUAGAGAAUACCAAGGCGCUUGAGAGAACUCGGGUGAAGGAACUAGGCAAAAUGGUGCCGUAACUUCGGGAGAAGGCACGCUGAUAUGUAGGUGAAGUCCCUCGCGGAUGGAGCUGAAAUCAGUCGAAGAUACCAGCUGGCUGCAACUGUUUAUUAAAAACACAGCACUGUGCAAACACGAAAGUGGACGUAUACGGUGUGACGCCUGCCCGGUGCCGGAAGGUUAAUUGAUGGGGUUAGCGCAAGCGAAGCUCUUGAUCGAAGCCCCGGUAAACGGCGGCCGUAACUAUAACGGUCCUAAGGUAGCGAAAUUCCUUGUCGGGUAAGUUCCGACCUGCACGAAUGGCGUAAUGAUGGCCAGGCUGUCUCCACCCGAGACUCAGUGAAAUUGAACUCGCUGUGAAGAUGCAGUGUACCCGCGGCAAGACGGAAAGACCCCGUGAACCUUUACUAUAGCUUGACACUGAACAUUGAGCCUUGAUGUGUAGGAUAGGUGGGAGGCUUUGAAGUGUGGACGCCAGUCUGCAUGGAGCCGGCCUUGAAAUACCACCCUUUAAUGUUUGAUGUUCUAACGUUGACCCGUAAUCCGGGUUGCGGACAGUGUCUGGUGGGUAGUUUGACUGGGGCGGUCUCCUCCUAAAGAGUAACGGAGGAGCACGAAGGUUGGCUAAUCCUGGUCGGACAUCAGGAGGUUAGUGCAAUGGCAUAAGCCAGCUUGACUGCGAGCGUGACGGCGCGAGCAGGUGCGAAAGCAGGUCAUAGUGAUCCGGUGGUUCUGAAUGGAAGGGCCAUCGCUCAACGGAUAAAAGGUACUCCGGGGAUAACAGGCUGAUACCGCCCAAGAGUUCAUAUCGACGGCGGUGUUUGGCACCUCGAUGUCGGCUCAUCACAUCCUGGGGCUGAAGUAGGUCCCAAGGGUAUGGCUGUUCGCCAUUUAAAGUGGUACGCGAGCUGGGUUUAGAACGUCGUGAGACAGUUCGGUCCCUAUCUGCCGUGGGCGCUGGAGAACUGAGGGGGGCUGCUCCUAGUACGAGAGGACCGGAGUGGACGCAUCACUGGUGUUCGGGUUGUCAUGCCAAUGGCACUGCCCGGUAGCUAAAUGCGGAAGAGAUAAGUGCUGAAAGCAUCUAAGCACGAAACUUGCCCCGAGAUGAGUUCUCCCUGACUCCUUGAGAGUCCUGAAGGAACGUUGAAGACGACGACGUUGAUAGGCCGGGUGUGUAAGCGCAGCGAUGCGUUGAGCUAACCGGUACUAAUGAACCGUGAGGCUUAACCUUACAACGCCGAAG